Molecule: ribosomal RNA, 407 nt
Filed under: uncultured Desulfobulbus sp.
Lineage: Bacteria; Pseudomonadati; Thermodesulfobacteriota; Desulfobulbia; Desulfobulbales; Desulfobulbaceae
Description: bacterial SSU rRNA
Rfam family: Bacterial small subunit ribosomal RNA
Source: RNAcentral
UUGACAUCCCGGGAAUUUCCUGGAAACAGGAGAGUGCUUUCAUUAGAGAGAACCUGGAGACAGGUGCUGCAUGGCUGUCGUCAGCUCGUGUCGUGAGAUGUUGGGUUAAGUCCCGCAACGAGCGCAACCCUUGCCUUUAGUUGCCAGCAGUUCGGCUGGGCACUCUAAAGGGACUGCCGGUGUCAAACCGGAGGAAGGUGGGGAUGACGUCAAGUCCUCAUGGCCUUUAUGGCCAGGGCUACACACGUACUACAAUGGCCGGUACAAAGGGCAGCGACAUUGCGAGAUGGAGCGAAUCCCGAAAAGCCGGUCUCAGUCCGGAUUGGAGUCUGCAACUCGACUCCAUGAAGUUGGAAUCGCUAGUAAUCGUGGAUCAGCAUGCCACGGUGAAUACGUUCCCGGGCCUU